This is a long non-coding RNA of Hemicordylus capensis (graceful crag lizard), 1090 nucleotides long. RefSeq lists it as uncharacterized. Lineage: Eukaryota; Metazoa; Chordata; Lepidosauria; Squamata; Cordylidae. The record is from RefSeq and is a predicted model, not a curated record. The transcript has 3 exons.
GAGAAGAUGCAAAUGAGCGGAAGGAACUGGAAGCUACUGCAAACGAAGGAUGUCCCCAUUCUAGAAUUAAUUUUAGACAUCCUCCUAGUCUCUCCUAGACAUCCUCAUAAAAAUGGAAGAAGAGUGGAAUGCAGGGCAGACUGAACCAAAGGAACAAGAAAGGAGGACAACUGAGGGCUGUUCGGCAAAUCUCCUGGCGUUUCCUCACAUUGCUAGCCAUUUUGAGAGGGAUCAGUGUCAAUCUGCCUCUUACCUCCAUACUUCUCAAAUGCAGGUGAGGUGGUGACUGUCCUGAAUCAGUGCUUGGAUGCAGUAAUGGAUUGGAUGAGGGUGAACAAGUUGAGAUGCAAACAAGACAAGAUAGAAGUACUACUGGUUGGUGGUUCAUCUGCCCGGGAGAAUGAUGUUCAGCCUGCUAUAAAUGGGGUUGCACACCACCCCCACCCCUGAAGGACCAGGUUCACAGUCUGGGGGCGUUCAUUGAUCCAGUACUGAUAAAUAAAUAAAUAUAAAUAAAUAAAUAUAUGUGGAAGCCCCAGCUCCCCAUAUCAGCAAUGGAGAUCACUGAUGCCCUGUUUCUCUGGGUAUGCAAGUUGCAGAGCCCAAAGGAGACUCUAGUCAUCUGGGAGGCACAAGGUAGGUGUGUGCUCUCCCUCCAGCUCAUCCCCCUAUGGCUGUGAGAACAAGACCCAUAUGUAUCUAUAUUAAUAGAGUACCAGCCUCUGUUAUCAGAUGUGCAAUCCAGCCAGAGUCAAGUAUCUUUAUAAUUAAUUCUCUUAGCCAGCCAGCAUGGAGAUGUGGCAAGACAAUGUGUGCCGACGAGGGAGGCACCUGAUUGGCUGAGCUCUGUUUGGUCGGUGGAGGCACCUGAUUGGCUGGGCGUUGGCCCGGCUGUUGUGAGGAGGGGCUGUCUCAGCUGCAGUCUGGGCUGGGAGGCGGGAGGCAGUGGGAAGGACUGGCCCUGGCCUGGAGCCAGAGGGGGUGAGUGGGACAUGUGUGCCCAGGAUUUGGCAGCAGAAUUCUCAGGACAGGCUGUGAGAGUUCUGAAGUGAGGACUGAGGAGGAGAGGGGGAAGAAAGUGCCAGCAGUG